Nilaparvata lugens (brown planthopper) is the source of this 763-nucleotide long non-coding RNA. RefSeq lists it as uncharacterized. The transcript is spliced from 2 exons. The record is from RefSeq and is a predicted model, not a curated record. Lineage: Eukaryota; Metazoa; Arthropoda; Insecta; Hemiptera; Delphacidae.
AGAUGAACAAAAUACAAUUAUAAAUUUCUCCAAUGAUUUAUUCAUUGUUAUUAAAUACAAGCCAUUCAAUUUUAUCAUUUUAUCCCACAUUAUUGUUUGUCUGAAAUUCAAAAAAAUCAAUAAAAGACCAGUAUAGUAUAUGAGCCAUAAAUCUAAUGAUCAAAAUCGAAGAUAGGGUUCGAUUCACAGCUAGGUCUGGCAUUUUAGCUUCAACAGACUGCAGUAUAGUAUGUGAGCCAUGAAACUAAUGAUAAAAAUCGAAGAUAGGGUUCGAUUCACAGCUAGGUCUGGCAUUUUAGCUUCAACAGACUGCAGUAUAGUAUGUGAGCUAUAAAACUAAUGAUCAAAAUCGAAGAUAGGGUUCGAUUCACAGCUAGGUCUGGCAUUUUAGCUUCAACAUACUGCACUGAAACAUAGCUCUAGAUUUUCAAAUCAAGCCAAGCAUCAAAUAUUGUAACACAGUUUAGGAUGUCAUCAUUGCAUUUAAUACAAUUAUAAGGGACCUGUCAGUGUUGUAAAGUAAUUCUGAAUUUUUCCAUUUCAAAUUCAUGAGAAAAUAUUUGAAGACAAACUUUUUUCCAAUCAAUAUCGACAUAAUAUCACUUUAGUUGAUUCACUUAGGAUGUUAUCAUUGCAUUUAAAUAUAAUAUAAGGGACCUGGUAAUUUUGUAAAAUAAUUCUGAAUUUUCCCAUUUUAAAUUUAUGUGAAAAUAUUUGAAGACAAACUUUUUUCCAACCAAUAUCGACAUAAUAUUACCAUAGA